UUGCUAAGGACAACUCAGCAACUUUUCCUGUGGACAGGAAAGAGGUGGAGCAGAGUUAUAUAGGCAGUGCCUGGCAGGGAUUGGAUCCAUCAGGGAGUACACACUAGCCCUAUAGCUUUCAGCCACUGCUCGCGUGCGGCUCCUAGAGGAAAAACAGAAAACUGCAGCAAUGAUGGAAGCAAUAGGAGAGGAUCCAGAGAAGGAAUGCCAGGAUGCACAGCAGACAAAUUGGAAAUAGGAUGUCACCUGAUGCUGGCCAAGUUACAAUGUGGCAGUAAUCCAACAACAAUUUCAUGUCUUUAGCUUUCUUUUAUGAAAACAUGAAUGCAUGUGGGAUAUAAGGAGAUAUACUGUAUAAGUGAGUAAACAUAAAUGCAAG
Long non-coding RNA from Hyla sarda, 379 nucleotides. RefSeq lists it as uncharacterized. The transcript is spliced from 3 exons. The record is from RefSeq and is a predicted model, not a curated record. NCBI's taxonomy places the organism in Eukaryota, Metazoa, Chordata, Amphibia, Anura, Hylidae.